Molecule: long non-coding RNA, 476 nt
Filed under: Solanum tuberosum (potato)
Lineage: Eukaryota; Viridiplantae; Streptophyta; Magnoliopsida; Solanales; Solanaceae
Description: long non-coding RNA (STUB_LNC003922)
Source: RNAcentral
CUGAAGUGGCCAAGGCUUUCUCUAAGCGCCUCUUCUUUUUCUCAGCUUGCUUAAUUCGAUCCAACUCAUCCUUAACUUGCUUCUUCUUCCCUUUUCUAACAGCAGGUGCCACCUUAGCACAUUCCAUUUUGCCAACUAAUUAUGAAUCAGUAACACUUGAACCUACCCGAAUUUUCCUUUGUUGUGGAUAUUUCUAAGACAAGUUCAUUCUCUUUAUAACUAAUUUAUUAUCUUUUCUUUUGUGCCCUGUUAUUAAUACUAUUGCAAAAAAAAACUAUGCUAUUCAAUCUAAAGCUUUUACUAACGUUACACCUACACAAACUCAGGUCUAAGGGAAUACCGGAUUUUACGAACAAUACAGUCCCAGACAGAAACAACAGGAGAUUGAAGAAGAGAAGACUGGUAAGCACUCGUAGGCCCGUCACUCACCAUUCUUCCUAGUUUGCCACAAGCCUUGCAUUUACCCAUCUGGCAAC